GACAUCCACAGAACUUGGCAGAGAUCGCCCUGGUCGCCGUUCGGGAACUGUGAGACAGGUGCUGCAGUGGCUGUCGUCAGCUCGUGUUGUGAAAUGUUGGGUUAAGUCCCGCAACGAGCGCAACCCUUAUCCUUUGUUGCCAGCGAUUCGGUCGGGAACUCAAAGGAGACUGCCAGUGAUAAACUGGAGGAAGGUGGGGAUGACGUCAAGUCAUCAUGGCCCUUACGACCAGGGCUACACACGUGCUACAAUGGCAUAUACAAAGAGAAGCGACCUCGCGAGAGCAAGCGGACCUCAUAAAGUAUGUCGUAGUCCGGAUUGGAGUCUGCAACUCGACUCCAUGAAGUCGGAAUCGCUAGUAAUCGUGGAUCAGAAUGCCACGGUGAAUACGUUCCCGGGCCUU
RNAcentral lists this ribosomal RNA (403 nucleotides) under uncultured Enterobacteriaceae bacterium. RNAcentral describes it as "bacterial SSU rRNA". It matches the Rfam family "Bacterial small subunit ribosomal RNA", at positions 983 to 1382 of the family's 1533-position model. The record is from RNAcentral. Lineage: Bacteria; Pseudomonadati; Pseudomonadota; Gammaproteobacteria; Enterobacterales; Enterobacteriaceae.